GACGAACGCUGGCGGCGUGCCUAAUACAUGCAAGUCGAGCGGACUUGAAGAGAAGCUUGCUUCUCUGAUGGUUAGCGGCGGACGGGUGAGUAACACGUAGGCAACCUGCCUGUAAGACUGGGAUAACUACCGGAAACGGUAGCUAAUACUGGAUAGGUAAUUUUCUCGCAUGAGGGAGUCAAGAAAGACGGAGCAAUCUGUCACUUACGGAUGGGCCGGCGGCGCAUUAGCUAGUUGGUGAGGUAAUGGCUCACCAAGGCGACGAUGCGUAGCCGACCUGAGAGGGUGAACGGCCACACUGGGACUGAGACACGGCCCAGACUCCUACGGGAGGCAGCAGUAGGGAAUCUUCCGCAAUGGACGAAAGUCUGACGGAGCAACGCCGCGUGAGUGAUGAAGGUUUUCGGAUCGUAAAGCUCUGUUGCCAGGGAAGAACGUCUUAGAGAGUAACUGCUCUAAGAGUGACGGUACCUGAGAAGAAAGCCCCGGCUAACUACGUGCCAGCAGCCGCGGUAA
Molecule: ribosomal RNA, 516 nt
Filed under: uncultured bacterium
Lineage: Bacteria
Description: partial 16S ribosomal RNA
Rfam family: Bacterial small subunit ribosomal RNA
Source: RNAcentral